This is a long non-coding RNA of Phacochoerus africanus (Common warthog), 343 nucleotides long. RefSeq lists it as uncharacterized. The transcript has 3 exons. NCBI's taxonomy places the organism in Eukaryota, Metazoa, Chordata, Mammalia, Artiodactyla, Suidae. The record is from RefSeq and is a predicted model, not a curated record.
CCCUGGACCGCCUGAGGGCUGCCGCCCCGGGGCCGCCCACCUCCCCAGCACGGGUCCCGGCCCCUCGGCGGGCGCCCGCGACUCUCCCGCCUGCCCUCCCUUCCCGCCGGCCGCCUCCAGACCACCUCCCGCAGUUUCCCGGCCUUCGUGGCUUGGCUGGCGCGUCCGCGGCGCUCCGACCGACUGGAUCCCGCGAGCCCGCUCCCAGGACCAGGGGCUGGACCCAAGAUUCAUUCCGAAUAUAGGGUUCCUGCAAGAGAAGUGUUGAAAUCUCUAACUGUAAUUGUGGAUUUAUCCAUUUCUCCUUUCACUUCUCAUGUGAAGUAGCAAUCCAAGCCACUUC